This is a long non-coding RNA of Lynx canadensis (Canada lynx), 2250 nucleotides long. The record is from Ensembl. NCBI's taxonomy places the organism in Eukaryota, Metazoa, Chordata, Mammalia, Carnivora, Felidae.
AUGCUGAGCUGCCAGGGUACAGCUGAUGACAUUUCUUGUUUGUGGCCUCCCCAACAUUAUUUAGGUCACCUGCCACAUGGACCAGAGCUGCCACAGUUACACCUGCUCAAGACGCCCCAGCCUACGGGAAGAUUUAAGACUGCAUUCGCACACAUCUCACUGGCCAGACAACAAACUGUGAGUGGAUUUCUCCAGAGUUGUAAGUUCUCUGACUCCAUUAAGAAAGCAUCGUCUCACUUUGUAGGAAUGAUGAGGCAACAGAACAUGGCAGAAUGCAACCGAGCGUUUCCAGCCCCAACCUACAGUGUGGCCCUAAAGUGGGGUUUCCAACCUUUCUCCAUUUUCAAUGAGGCGGUUUCUCAACCCUGGCUCUGCUCUCCUCCCUGGGGCAUCUUGGCAAUGCCUCCCACUUCCUUCUAAUGCACGGCGAGAACGGCAUGUGAAUCAUCCUAAAGCACACACAUGAAGUCGGACACCAGAGCACGUUCAUGUCACUACGCAGGAGAGCAGCCCCGUGAACCUGUUCAACGGACACUCGCAUCCCACUGUCUGGAUCACCUGGGGCAAGACCAGCUCAUCGGCAGCUCCUUUAGGCCCCUGAGCCGUUAAAUGCCCCGAGACCGCUUUAAAGUAAAUUCUCACCUCCCGUGAGGAUACAGUAUACAAUGGCUCCCGCCUCUGCCUAAAACACAGAAAGUUUUUGCUAUUUUCUCCUGGAGUUUUUCAAAUGUAUGUUUAGUAGAAGAUCAACUCCCUGAGAGUCUGCAUAGAAUGGUCUGAAAACAACAACAACAACAACCCUAAUAAUUUUCUGGAAAGGUUCUAAUUUUACAGAAGGGUACACUGGAUUUUGCAUCCUAUGACACAUGAGGUGUUUCCUGAUUUCUUGCACCAGGUUAAUGUUUUAUUCAGUAUUAAACGGACUUAAUAUUAUUUUGAACCAAUCUGUUCAUGGACGUUUAGAUUAUUUACAAUCUUUCAAUUCUAACAUGGCUAUCUCUGUUGUACAUCAUUUCACAUUAUAAAUGUAUCCUUAUGGUACAUUCCUAGAUGCGGGAUUCAAGGACAAGUGUGUGCGUGGUACGUAGGGUUCUACAUUUUUCCAACCACUUCCUCAACAUAGUGCAACAGAAUACUGAAAACUGCAUGAGUGAUACAGAUACUUCACAGACGACUAUAAAGCAAGAGCCAGUGACUACCGUCAAAUCCCCCUGGGAAUCCCUCAGUACGCCUGUUCUUUAGAACCCUCGUCGGCUUUCCAGAAGUACAUAUCUUUAUUUUGUGAUAUUCACUGAAUUAUAAGAAAACAUGCAUUUUGAAGAAUUAUAAACCAAAGGGGGGGAAAAUCCAGGAUGAGAUCUAAAUAUACAUAGAAUUUAACUGGGAAAUUUUUUUUUUAGUUUAUUUAUUUGAGAGAGAGAGAGAGAGAGAGAGAGAGAGAGAGAGAGAGCGCGCUCACGCACACAAGCAGGGGAGGGGCAGAGAGAGAGGGAGACACAGAAUCUGAAGCAGGCUUGAACUCACAAAUGGUGAGAUCAUGACCUGAGCUGAAGUCAGAUGCUUAGCCACCCAGGUGCUCCUAACCAGGAAAUCAUCUUAAGGUUGGCUUAUCUUGGGGUGCCUGUGUGGCGCAGUCGGUUAAGCGUCCGACUUCAGCCAGGUCACGAUCUUGCGGUCCGGGAGUUCGAGCCCCGCGUCAGGCUCUGGGCUGAUGGCUCAGAGCCUGGAGCCUGUUUCCGAUUCUGUGUCUCCCUCUCUCUCUGCCCCUCCCCCGUUCAUGCUCUGUCUCUCUCUGUCCCAAAAAAAAAAAAACGUUGAAAAAAAAAAAAAAUUAAAAAAAAAAAAAAAAAAGGUUGGCUUAUCUCAAGCCAGUUUCUUGCCUUUAUCUUUGGCUGUGACAGCUGUUUAGAAGGCAUGACACAAAAAUAACAUUAGGGAGUCAGAGAAAGAGGAGGGUGUGGGGACAAAAUGUAGUAUUUUCUAUUUAUUUGAAAAAAAUUGUUUUAAUCCUUAUUUAUUUUGGAGACAGAACGAGAGAGACAGAGCAUGAGCCAAGGAGGGGCAGAGAGAGAUAGAGACACAGAAUCUGGAACAGGCUCCAGGCUCUGAGCUCUCCGCCCAGAGCCCGACACGGGGCUUGAUCCCACGAACUGUGAGAUCAUGACCUGAGCCAAAACCAAGAGUCAGACACGUAACUGACUGAGCCACCCAGGCGCCGCCGCCCUCUCCCCCCCCCGCCCAAAUAUAACU